This 252-nucleotide unclassified non-coding RNA is filed under the name Cladophialophora sp. Its description in RNAcentral is "partial contains small subunit ribosomal RNA, internal transcribed spacer 1, and 5.8S ribosomal RNA". The stretch from base 1 to 46 matches the Rfam family "Eukaryotic small subunit ribosomal RNA", at positions 1786 to 1831 of the family's 1831-position model. The record is from RNAcentral. Lineage: Eukaryota; Fungi; Ascomycota; Eurotiomycetes; Chaetothyriales; Herpotrichiellaceae.
AAGUCGUAACAAGGUUUCCGUAGGUGAACCUGCGGAAGGAUCAUUAAUGAGUUAGGGUCUUUCAGGCCCGAUCUCCAACCCUUUGUAUAACUACCACGUUGCUUUGGCGGGCCCGUCUUUAAUCGGACCGCCGGGAGUUUUGUAACUCUUGGCCAGUGCUCGUCAAUAGCCCUUAACAAACUCUUUUAACCAUGUUAAAUCUGAAAAUAUUUAAAUAAACUAAAACUUUCAACAACGGAUCUCUUGGUUCUG